UGGCUUAGUCGGUACAGCGCAAGGCUCUUAACCUUGAGGUUUUGGGUUCGAGCCCCAC
Molecule: transfer RNA, 58 nt
Filed under: Zea mays
Lineage: Eukaryota; Viridiplantae; Streptophyta; Magnoliopsida; Poales; Poaceae
Rfam family: tRNA
About the family: Transfer RNA (tRNA) molecules are approximately 80 nucleotides in length.
Source: Rfam by way of RNAcentral